UCACUUUCGUUGCUUGCUUGAUAUAUGAUAGGACUUAGGGCUAAAUUAAGACUGACUUUUAUUGAUUAAAUCAAAAGAAAACUAACAAUCAAUCCUGACCUACAAUUCGAGAGGUAGGUCAAUCUCUCCCAAAACUCCUAAUGGUUCCUAAUACCAGACAAUACUCAACAUAAACCCUAAAUGACUCCAUAAUCUUUUAUUUAUAGCUAAACCCUAAUUAAUAAUAAAGUUACUAAAUUGCCCCUGCCCCUAAAAUUACUAAAUAGCCCCUGCUCUUUUAUAUUUGCGCCUAACAUAAGUUUUCAUGGGUCUAACAUUACUCCCCUCCCAAAAAGACACCUUGUCCUCAAGGUGAAAUCUAGGAAACUGCUGCCUCUUCUUCCUCGCCUUCUUCCUCGUCACACACAGUCAAGACUUGUAGUGAUUUAUCCUUACAUCGAUGCCCUAGUGAAAAUUUCUCAUCGCAUCGAAAACACACCCCCUUCGCCCUUUUAUCCUGAAUCUCUGUCUCUGUGAGGCGUUUGAAAGUCACCCCUAGUCGUGCCCCACUAACCCGAUCCCUUUGGGAAUCUCUCUGUAAACCCAUCAUUUGCAUUUUCUGGCCUCCCGAUGGUGUAUUUUGGAACUCUCGCUGAAACCCCAAAGUCUGAGUUUUCUGUCCUACCAAUGGUGUGCUAUUUCGAUAUGAAAAAUCGACUGACCUGCUCCUAUUAAUCUGUUCUAUUGUGUUCUUAUCCUCAAUCAUCUGUGCCAACUCCAUUGACUCCCCUAACCCUCUCGGCCUUAGCAAGCGUAGCGAGGCUCGGAUUUCUAGCUUCAGUCCCUUCAUAAAAUUCCCUUCCAACACUGCCUUUGAGAUGUCCCAUUGACGUCCCGACAACAGCUCAAACUUUUUCCUAUACUCCAUGACCGUUCUCUCCUGGGUCAAGGCAAAAAAUUGUUCAUGCAAAUCCCCUUCUUGAGUGGCCCGAAAUCUCUCCAAUAGCCGGUCCUUAAAUUCACCCCACGACCUCAAUAGUUGUCGUUGUUCUCGCCAUUGAAACCAUGCAAGUACCUUUCCCUCCAAACAUAACGCCGCUGCCAUUAAUUUUUCCCUCUCUGAGAGUUCAUUGAUGGUCAAAUAGCACUCUACCCUAUACACCCAUCCAUAAGCAUCCUCGCCUUCGAAAAUGGGCAUUUUCAGCUUUCUUACCCUAGAAUCCGCUCCAAAUUGAGUCUGACCCGCCCAAUUUCGUGCCAUUAGAGGUCGCCAAACUCCCGAAUCUACUCUAGUGUCUACAAAUCCCGAAGACCCAACCCAAAAUUCUCCUUGCCCAGCCCCAUAUUGGGCUGAAAUCCCUCGCCCAACUGCAUUCCGGUCAUAACCGCUCCCUUUCUUGCAGGUAACCCCUCUUCCUGGCCAUCCGCCCCUAAAUACGACCUGUCCAGACCUAAAAUCGCCCUGCCCAGGCCCACAGCAGCCCUGCCCAGCCCAAAAUUCGGCCUGCCCAGGCCGUGUGUCACCCCCAAAUGCCGCCAAGUCGCCAAGCCCGUCCACCCCCGAAUCUCGCGCGCCCCAUUCCGAUGCCGAAGCACCGAUUCCCAAUCCUAAACUGCCUCCUCCAGCCGCGUAACCCUCAGAUCCACCGCCCCCAGUCGCAACCCAGCCUCCUUCGCCACACCCAACACCAGGAAAGGCUCCCCUAGGCCGUAAGUCCCCUAGGCUAACCUCCCCGCCACCAAAUCCGCCGUGAACUGUUGCCCAUGGCUGUGCAAGACUGGUGGUUUUCGACCCUCCGCAAUCUGUGCCGUUGCCGAGCACGGGUUUCGUGUCGCCCGAUCCUUCUACCACCACACCGUCUUGGCCUGUUGAUACUGCCAAUGGUGGGUUGAGGUGGAGUUCUAUCAAUUUCAACAACAUGGCUUCAAGGGAUGAAAAUUUUUGUUGAACGUUAUUAAAUCGCUCGUCAAUGGUGGCCUUGAGCGAUCCAAUCUCCGCUUCCAAUUUUUCUUCAAGUGCGUCCACUUUCUUUGAUGCCAUUGUCUCAGGAUUCUUGCUCUGAUACCACUUUGAUAGGACUUAGGGCUAAAUUAAGACUGACUUUUAUUGAUUAAAUCAAAAGAAAACUAACAAUCAAUCCUGACCUACAAUUCGAGAGGUAGGUCAAUCUCUCCCAAAACUCCUAAUGGUUCCUAAUACCAGACAAUACUCAACAUAAACCCUAAAUGACUCCAUAAUCUCUUAUUUAUAGCUAAACCCUAAUUAAUAAUAAAGUUACUAAAUUGCCCCUGCCCCUAAAAUUACUAAACAGCCCCUGCUCUUUUAUAUUUGCGCCUAACAUAAGUUUUCAUGGGUCUAACAAUAUAUUAUCUCUAUUCUGCAUGGCAUGCAGCAGAGAGGUUACCAUCUUACAGAAGCUAGUACUGUAUCCAGUUCUGAAAGAAUGAUAAUUGAUUAGGAUGAAAACCUACUGUCAGUGCACAGAUGACUUUUGGUCAUUUUGCAUAAUUACUCUUCCUAUUUAUAUGCCUAGUGUCUAUUAUUGAUAGAACCUCAUUUCAUCAAUUGCAAGUGGC
Molecule: long non-coding RNA, 2556 nt
Filed under: Citrus maxima (pomelo)
Lineage: Eukaryota; Viridiplantae; Streptophyta; Magnoliopsida; Sapindales; Rutaceae
Description: long non-coding RNA (CMAX_LNC001142)
Source: RNAcentral